CUCUCCACCAGGCUCCCACGCCCACCACACAGCCUGUAGCCCCGGCGGAGCUAUGGGCUCUGACUCCGCCUCUUUCCAAAUCCGGAGUAGUUCGUGCCACAGUCGUCCUCGGAACCCUGUGGCCCCUUCCUCACCCGUUUCAGGGCCACUUGGUUCCCACCUCCACCUUCUUAGUCUGCCUGCCCUGCUUUCCAUCUUCUUGGAAUUCGCCUUGCUGCCGCCCCGCGCCCACCCCCGCGCCCACCCCUGCCCCUGCACCGUCCCAUGCCCUUAUGGAUUUAUUCUUUACACGUAAAUAUGUCUUUCCUCUUUUUGAAAGGAUUUGGAGUUGGAACAGAGAAAUUCACUAUGGAUGAUGCUAUAUCUUUAUAUGACCUUUGGAAUAUCUGUAAUCAUCCUGAGGGCAAUACUUAUGUAAUGAAGAUGGAAGAAGAGAGAAUAUGAAUACUCCGUGCACUUUGAUCUUAUCGUUUAGCUGCUGAUCAUACCAUCCCUGGAGUCCUACUUCUGACUCCAAGUUAUGAGGUAACAAAUUUCUUUAUAGUUAAAGCAAUUUGAUUCUGGGUUUUCUGUUACUUGCAGUUGAAGGCAUCUUAAAUGGCUUAGCGUUCCCAGACUUAAAUGAUAUAGUAUCCCUAGACAAUACCGUUAUACUUUUAAGUUAUAUGAAACAAUACAUUCUCAGGCACUCAUUCAUACAACCAGCUCCCAUAUCAGGAAAUGGGACCUUACUUCCAGACUUAAAAAAUCCAGUAUUCAGUUGCAGAUAAGGAAUAAGGAGCUAUCUAAAAAACAAGCAUGAGGUAAAAAGGCAUCAUUCUAAUUUGCACUAUAAGAAAAAAUAUACCAGGAUUAGCAAAUAACUCCCUAAAUAAAUGCUGUCAGCAAAGUGAUGAGCCUCUUAUAUUUUCCUCAUAGGAAGAGGUAGGCUUCCGGACUCCAGUCUCUCCACCUCACAUCUAUUUUCCAUAUACUUUAGAUUUCUUUGUCUUAAGGAGGUGAUCCUGAUAUUCAAUCUUAUGAGAAUAAAAAAUAACAUUCUAAUCACUUAUUUUUUAAAUGUCAUGCAUUAAUAUUAGUUAAGACCAUCUUUCAAAAUUACCAAAAAUUAGUAUGGUUUACUGCAAUCUUUAUGACAAUGAAAAGAUCUAUAAUGAAUGAAAUAGACCUUUCUCUAUCUCAUUUCCUUUUUCUCCUUGCCACCUCUCAGGAUGUCCCAGUGUUCUCACGUUCCACCUUCAAUCACACUUAACCAAUGUUAAAUCCCUGGUAUGUAUUCUUCCAAACCAUUUUCUAUGUUAUUACAACAAUAUAUAAAUAUAAACGUAAAUAUAGGAAUUUGGAAGUCCUUCUCACUUUUUAACGUAAGUGGGAUCAUACUCUUUACAUUUGUGUGCAAUGACACAUCUAUAUAUAUUUCUAAAACAUCUUCUUUAUAAUUGUAUAAUAUUUCAAAUGAUACAUAAACACAAUGUAUUCAAAAGUUCUGGUAUUGAUAGACAUUCAAGAUUUUCCCCCAGCUAUUUUUGCUAUUUCAAACAAUGCUGUGAUAACAAGUGAAUGCAAUCCAAUUGUGACAUUUCUCAUUCCAUCUAUUUUGAGGGUUGAUGGUGCCUAUUUUGCUGAUGAGGUAGGUAUCUUUGUCUUUUCUCAAUGUUGCCAUAUUCUUCCUUCUUAACGUUACCCGUGCUGAUGUAAAAGAACCUUUCCAGAUAAAGAAGACUCUCUUUUAUUUAAGAAUAUAUAUGUGCUUUGUCUGGCCUUCCCCCAGUAUUCAUAAAUUUUUAGCAAUCUUCCAAGAAGUUAUUGAAUCAAAAAGAAAAA
Long non-coding RNA from Homo sapiens (human), 1824 nucleotides. NCBI's taxonomy places the organism in Eukaryota, Metazoa, Chordata, Mammalia, Primates, Hominidae. The record is from Ensembl.